Molecule: transfer RNA, 73 nt
Filed under: Bacteroidota bacterium
Lineage: Bacteria; Pseudomonadati; Bacteroidota
Description: Bacteroidetes bacterium (grounwater metagenome) tRNA-Thr
Rfam family: tRNA
About the family: Transfer RNA (tRNA) molecules are approximately 80 nucleotides in length.
Source: RNAcentral
GCCACCAUAGCUCAGCUGGUAGAGCAACUGAUUUGUAAUCAGUUGGUCGUUGGUUCGAUUCCGACUGGUGGCU